Molecule: ribosomal RNA, 270 nt
Filed under: uncultured prokaryote
Description: partial 16S ribosomal RNA
Rfam family: Bacterial small subunit ribosomal RNA
Source: RNAcentral
CACGGGGGGAGCAAGCGUUGUUCGGAUUCACUGGGCGUAAAGGGCGUGUAGGCGGAUGGGUUAGUCAGAUGUGAAAUCCCAGAGCUCAACUCUGGGCCUGCAUUUGAUACUGCCCGUCUAGAGUAUGGGAGAGGAGAUCGGAAUUCCUGGUGUAGCGGUGAAAUGCGUAGAUAUCAGGAAGAACACCGGUGGCGAAGGCGGAUCUCUGGCCUAAUACUGACGCUGAGGCGCGAAAGCUGGGGGAGCAAACAGGAUUAGAUACCCGUCGUA